AGACUCGAAAUCAUUUUCACAUUUUAUCACCAAUGGCUGCGCUAUAAUCGGAGGUGUUUUCACGGUUGCUGGGAUUCUGGAUUCUAUUUUUCAUAAUACAGUUAGGCUGGUGAAAAAAACAGAAUUAGGCAAAAAAUUUUGAUAGACAG
This is a long non-coding RNA of Hibiscus syriacus, 149 nucleotides long. RefSeq lists it as uncharacterized. The record is from RefSeq and is a predicted model, not a curated record. The transcript is spliced from 2 exons. NCBI's taxonomy places the organism in Eukaryota, Viridiplantae, Streptophyta, Magnoliopsida, Malvales, Malvaceae.